This 492-nucleotide ribosomal RNA is filed under the name uncultured bacterium. RNAcentral describes it as "partial 16S ribosomal RNA". It matches the Rfam family "Bacterial small subunit ribosomal RNA", at positions 29 to 507 of the family's 1533-position model. The record is from RNAcentral.
AGUGAACGCUGGCGGUAGGCCUAACACAUGCAAGUCGAACGGCAGCACAGUAAGAGCUUGCUCUUACGGGUGGCGAGUGGCGGACGGGUGAGGAAUACAUCGGAAUCUACUUUUUCGUGGGGGAUAACGUAGGGAAACUUACGCUAAUACCGCAUACGACCUACGGGUGAAAGCAGGGGAUCUUCGGACCUUGCACGAUUGAAUGAGCCGAUGUCGGAUUAGCUAGUUGGCGGGGUAAAGGCCCACCAAGGCGACGAUCCGUAGCUGGUCUGAGAGGAUGAACAGCCACACUGGAACUGAGACACGGUCCAGACUCCUACGGGAGGCAGCAGUGGGGAAUAUUGGACAAUGGGCGCAAGCCUGAUCCAGCCAUACCGCGUGGGUGAAGAAGGCCUUCGGGUUGUAAAGCCCUUUUGUUGGGAAAGAAAAGCAGCAGGUUAAUACCCCGCUGUUCUGACGGUACCCAAAGAAUAAGCACCGGCUAACUUCGUG